This 314-nucleotide long non-coding RNA is filed under the name Homo sapiens (human). Its description in RNAcentral is "non-protein coding lnc-ABHD4-12:1". Lineage: Eukaryota; Metazoa; Chordata; Mammalia; Primates; Hominidae. The record is from RNAcentral.
GCUCUGAACAUUCAGGAGGGUAAAACGGCCACCCUGACCUGCAACUAUACAAACUAUUCUCCAGCAUACUUACAGUGGUACCGACAAGAUCCAGGAAGAGGCCCUGUUUUCUUGCUACUCAUACGUGAAAAUGAGAAAGAAAAAAGGAAAGAAAGACUGAAGGUCACCUUUGAUACCACCCUUAAACAGAGUUUGUUUCAUAUCACAGCCUCCCAGCCUGCAGACUCAGCUACCUACCUCUGUGCUUGGUGUACAACUUCAACAAAUUUUACUUUGGAUCUGGGACCAAACUCAAUGUAAAACCAAGUAAGUUA